Long non-coding RNA from Sebastes umbrosus (honeycomb rockfish), 166 nucleotides. RefSeq lists it as uncharacterized. The transcript is spliced from 3 exons. The record is from RefSeq and is a predicted model, not a curated record. NCBI's taxonomy places the organism in Eukaryota, Metazoa, Chordata, Actinopteri, Perciformes, Sebastidae.
CCGUACCCAACUACACUUGCGUCCUCAUCAACGUGUAUUUCCGUUUAUGUUGAGAUCAGCUGUACAUAGCGGAGCAUCGUAAAACACUUCAUUCAAACUGGACAGAAACAAAAUAAAACUCACUUAAACCGUCGUCGUUACUCUUUCCAACAAUCACCAAGUGUGC